AUGCACGUUGACCUUUUCAGGGAUCGUCUCCUACCAUUUCAGUGGACAACACAGCAGGUUGCCAAUUGUACCUGAGCAAAGAUUCUUUGGCGGCUUCUAUAACUACAGCUAAGUCAAGUGAAGUCAACGUGUUGGUACCUGGUUCUGGGUCUGAAAGUGACUGGGUACGUUUCAGUCGGAGUUUCAACAGUGCUCUAAAUUUUCUUAUGAUACAAUCAAACCUUAAAACAACAUAUCUGCUCAUGUAUUUCUAACUUCAACUGAUAUAUUUUUUUCCUGUCAUUUUCAAAUUUUACUGAGAAUUAGUAAUUGUUUUUCCCUAUCUAGAAUGUAUUUCACAGUUGAGUAUAUUAUUAUAGAUUAGAGGAUGAGAUCCUUGAAAGGGAAACGCACACGAACUGAAUUGAUUGCUAUAAGUUAUUUCUGUCAAACUUUUAUUUCAAAAUGAGUCGUUUCAACUUUCUGACGUGAUUUUAUUAUUAUUAUUAUUAUUAUUAUUAUUUAUUAUUAUUUUUUUUUUUUGGUAGGCGGAGCAUUAUUUUUGAGGUAUCACGUAACUUUUUGUGUUUUUUCUUGACCAUGGUCGAGAAAUGCUCUUGUUUAAAUAAUUUACUCUCUUUAUCGUUUUAGAUUAUUUUACUCAUCCGUGGUGAUGAAACUUAUCCCCUGUGCUGAUAGGUGAUGUUUUUGGUUAUACCAAAUUAUUAACCAACUCUUUCCGAUCGACUGCAAUGAGGAAAUUGGCUGCCUCACCAUCAUGCAACCUGCGAGCGUGGCCCAUCAAGCUUUGAUACAUGCUGGCUGCCCGUCGCUUGCAGCGAAAAAUGGCAUUGGUCGAGCCUGACUAGUUGGUCAAUCUUGACAGGCUGAUCGUCUUUAGGCUCAGCGGGUGGUGUAUCUAGCCGCCUGUUGGGGAUUAGUCUAGGACCGUUAUUUCUCCUAUCCUUUCUGUCUUCAUCUGUCAAUGGGCAGUUGUUGCGGACGCCCGCUAAACAUAAUGACUAGGUUGUUUGAAGCCGUUAGGUUUAAUUGAUCCAUUGGAAAGACACCUACAUCACGUACGCUAUGGCAAAGGUUGGCUUUGGUCAAACUUGGCCUGACCUAUUUAAGAUAUUUCUCGCAUUAGUCAUAAUUGAUGGGUGG
Molecule: long non-coding RNA, 1143 nt
Filed under: Olea europaea subsp. europaea
Lineage: Eukaryota; Viridiplantae; Streptophyta; Magnoliopsida; Lamiales; Oleaceae
Source: RNAcentral